Small nucleolar RNA from Sciurus vulgaris (Eurasian red squirrel), 129 nucleotides. Its record names the gene SNORA70. It matches the Rfam family "Small nucleolar RNA SNORA70". Rfam says of the family: snoRNA U70 seems to be exclusive to mammals and is a member of the H/ACA class of snoRNA which contain H (ANANNA) and ACA box motifs. H/ACA box snoRNAs are involved in the conversion of uridines to pseudouridines (5-ribosyluracil) a constituent of structural RNAs (transfer, ribosomal, small nuclear, and small nucleolar). NCBI's taxonomy places the organism in Eukaryota, Metazoa, Chordata, Mammalia, Rodentia, Sciuridae. The record is from Ensembl.
CUGCAGCCAAUAAGCCCCUUGGACUCCUUUAUUCGUGGGUCCCUGUGUACAAUGGCUGCAAACAGUAGUCUCCUUUAGUGCACACAGCCUGUUGCUAUAUGGUUGCCCUAAGGGACCUGGGAGGCAGCC